RNAcentral lists this unclassified non-coding RNA (314 nucleotides) under Hevea brasiliensis (rubber tree). Lineage: Eukaryota; Viridiplantae; Streptophyta; Magnoliopsida; Malpighiales; Euphorbiaceae. The record is from RNAcentral.
UAACCUAUUAUUUAAACUGCUUGUGGCUUUAUUUAGUAUUUUGCGUCAUCUGUCCUUGUCCGUGUGUGUCUCUCAAAGCUUCGCCGGCGGCGACCGGAAACAGGAUACUCGCCGGGAAUCCAGGAUCGUUCAGACUAGGGAAAUUUGAGGAAGAAGAUGAAAGUUUAUGUGAAGACUUUGAAGGGUACUAACUUCGAGAUCGAAGUAAAACUUGAAGACACGGUUGCUGAUGUAAAGAAAAUCAUAGAGACGAUACAAGGUGUGGAUAUUUACCCUGCUGCACAACAGAUGCUGAUUCAUCAGGGGAAAGUUCU